This 2551-nucleotide long non-coding RNA is filed under the name Gossypium barbadense (sea-island cotton). RNAcentral's name for it is "long non-coding RNA (GBAR_LNC000290)". The record is from RNAcentral. Lineage: Eukaryota; Viridiplantae; Streptophyta; Magnoliopsida; Malvales; Malvaceae.
ACAGCUUCGACCUUUCUUUACUAAAAUUUAAUUAUCUCAUAGCAUAGGACUCGGAUGAUAUUCCUGUUUAUUUCUCUUGAAAAUAGAUUCAUUAAAGAUUCUAAGCAUAUGAAUUAUAGCCCAUAAUUAUUUUUAUACAAUUUUUAAUGAUUUUCGCAAUUCAGAAUAGGGAAUUCCAAAAUCAAUCUGACAUUGUCUCACAAAAAUUCAAAUUCAUACCAAAUUAGUCAAAUCCUAUUUUAUACCAUAACCAAACCUAAAUUUAUUUAUUUCAUCCUUACAUUUACAAUUUCAAAAUGACACACACAUAAGACAUCUUAGGUACAUGCCAUUACCCAUAAUUAACACACUUUACCUCAUUGAAUUCGGGAUCGACCUGGGAUGCUGAUUCAACGUUCUAUCUUUACUUAACCUGCGCACGGAAACAAACCGUACGCUGAGUAUGGUAUACUCAGUGGUAUUUCUAUAAUCCGAACACUUGAUAAUAUAAGAGUUAAACUUAAAAUCACAAUAACAAAUAUAACUAUUCAUUUAUUUAUUUUAUAGAUAAGUUUUAUUUACUUACCAUAAAAAUUCUAAACAAGCCAUAUAACAGACACAACAACAUAUUUGCUCAAUUCUUUUCAUUUGCUUACCGUAUAAAUUCUUUACAAUAUAUUCACAAUUCACUUGUAUUCACACUUUACUUCUUAACAAUAUACCAUUUUAAUUCUUUCUAACAUCAAUCAUCAUCCAUUUGAACUUCACUCAUUUCGUGAAUCCUUUGGUUCAUGUUUUCAAUCUCAUAUCUCAAUUUCAAUUCUCAAUUCAAUUUCUCAUUUCAUUCCAAUAGCUCAAUCAAUCAAAUUCACUCGAUUUAUCUUUUCAAUUAUUUACCCCUAUUAACAAGACUCGGACUCUGAUAGGUACGCGGAUUCCUCCCAAACACACCAGAAUAUCCAACCCAAACACACCCGGAAUAUUAUAAAUCCUCCAUAACACACUAGUAUAUCAUAUCCUCCCAAACACACCAAUAAUGCAUUAAAUGCCUCUUCGGAUAAACCGAAGUAUAUAAUAACAGAAACAUCUUCUCGGCCGAACUACUAAUCUCCUCAUCACAUCACAAAUCCAAUGACAUGCCAUUUGUAUCCAAUCUGGUCCGAUACUAUUAAUAGGGUAUUUGAUUCACUUUCUUAAUUUAAUAAAUCUUUCAUCAAUAUACCAUUCUAAUAAUCACAUAUAUUCACACAUUUUCACAAUUUCAUACAUUUUCAUUCAAUUCAACAUAUAUAUUUCAAUUAUUCACAUUAAUUCAUAAUUCAAUACAACUCAAUUCACUUUUCAAUAUCAAAUAUUCAAUUAUCACAAAUCUCAUAUAUUCAUAUCAAUUCCCUCAUAUUCCAAUCAAUAUAAUAUUUCAAUAUAACAUUCAUUCAAUAUUCAAAUUUUUAUAUAAAUCAUAUAUAUAUUAUAUUUCAAUCAAUAUAAAUUCAAUCAAAAUGAUUUCAAUCAAUAUAAAUUUGAUAAAUUCAUCACAUACCAAAAUCAAUCCAUUUCAAUUGUAAAACAUCAUAAUUCUAACACUAACAAUUGUCAUAUGUAUAUAAAUAUAACAAAUAAUGACUGAGUUCGGAUUAUAGAAAUACAAACCGUAUUUUCUUGAGCUAACUCCUCAACGAUCUUUUCUUUUCCUUUAGAUGCCGAUGCCUCGUUUUCCUUGUUAGCUAAAAAUAAUAACAAUUUACAUUAUUAAUUACAACAUUAAUUUAAAUAAUUAAUUAAAUUUCUACUCAAUUUAUGCCUAAUGUUCGUUUGGUUGCAACUCCCAAAUUAUCUUCAUACUUUAUCCGAAAUUAUUACUUGUUGUUCUGGCUUCAUCAAUAACUUUAUAUUUCAUCCGGAUAUAUUACUUUAUUGCUCUAGUUUCAAAAAUAGCUUCAUAUUUAAUCCGAAUAACUUAGUUCUUUUCUUUCUUUUUUUUUUCUUCCUGUGUGAAAAACCCAAUAAAACUCUUGCUAGUUAAAAAUUCAUAUAUUUAUUUCAUACUUCAAUUCUAUUCAUUUUCUUCCAUAUUCAUUCUAACUAUCAAGUAUUCAUAAUAUAACCCUAAUUUAAAAUUUCUUUUAAUUUAAUCCCUCUAAUACAAAACUUAUAGCUUAACUUACAAUUUAAUCCUUUAUUAAUUCAAACUUAAAAUUUAUUCAAUUCCAUCCUUAAUUUAUCUUUUUCUUCAACAUGAACCAUGCUUAGAAAUCUCAUAACUUUCAAAAUUUCCACUUAAAACAAGUAGUAUUUAUCUCUAGGAUUCCAAAAAACUCAAAAAUCAUAAGAAAAUGGGCUAAAUUGACUUACCAAAUUAACUUGGAACCUUUAAAACUUUAUUUUUCCCUUUUUUCUUUUCUUCCUUUCUUCCUUCUCUGUUUCGUCCCUGCUAUUCUGUUUCUUUCUUUCUUUUUAUUCUUUUUGUUUCUUUCUUUUAUUUCUUUUAUAUAUAUAUAUAAUGGCAAUAAUAACUAUAUUAAAAAUCUAUUUAAUAACAAAUAUUUAUUUAACACUUGUACUAAUUAUUUUU